GAUGAAGAACGCAGCGAAAUGCGAUAAGUAAUGUGAAUUGCAGAAUUCAGUGAAUCAUCGAAUCUUUGAACGCACAUUGCGCCCGCCAGCACUCUGGCGGGCAUGCCUGUUCGAGCGUCAUUAUAACCCCUCAAGCUCAGCUUGGUGUUGGGGCCUGCUGCACUGGCAGCCCUUAAAAUCAGUGGCGGCGCCAUCUGGCUCUAAGCGUAGUAAUUCUUCUCGCUAUGGAGUCCUGGUGGAUGCUUGCCAUCAACCCCCAAUUUUUCUAUGGUUGACCUCGGAUCAGGUAGGGAUACCCGCUGAACUUAAGCAUAUCAAUAAGCGGAGGA
This 329-nucleotide unclassified non-coding RNA is filed under the name soil metagenome. Its description in RNAcentral is "partial contains 5.8S ribosomal RNA, internal transcribed spacer 2, and large subunit ribosomal RNA". The stretch from base 1 to 120 matches the Rfam family "5.8S ribosomal RNA", at positions 35 to 154 of the family's 154-position model. The record is from RNAcentral.